UACGUAGGGUGCAAGCGUUGUCCGGAAUUAUUGGGCGUAAAGAGCUCGUAGGCGGUCUGUCGCGUCUGCUGUGAAAACUCAGGGCUUAACCCUGAGCUUGCAGUGGGUACGGGCAGACUAGAGUGCGGUAGGGGAGACUGGAAUUCCUGGUGUAGCGGUGAAAUGCGCAGAUAUCAGGAGGAACACCGGUGGCGAAGGCGGUUAGCUGGGCAGUUGCUGACACUGAGGCGCGACAGCGUGGGGAGCAAACAGG
RNAcentral lists this ribosomal RNA (253 nucleotides) under uncultured bacterium. RNAcentral describes it as "partial 16S ribosomal RNA". It matches the Rfam family "Bacterial small subunit ribosomal RNA", at positions 524 to 776 of the family's 1533-position model. The record is from RNAcentral.